This 322-nucleotide ribosomal RNA is filed under the name uncultured Bacteroidota bacterium. RNAcentral describes it as "bacterial SSU rRNA". It matches the Rfam family "Bacterial small subunit ribosomal RNA", at positions 30 to 351 of the family's 1533-position model. The record is from RNAcentral. Lineage: Bacteria; Pseudomonadati; Bacteroidota.
AUUGAACGCUGGCGGUAUGCUUAAUACAUGCAAGUCGAACGGUAAGGUCUCUUCGGAGAUACACGAGUGGCGCACGGGUGCGUAACGCGUAUGCAACCUACCUUUAACUGGGAAAUAGCCCCGAGAAAUCGGGAUUAAUGUCCCAUACUAUUCUGAGGAUACCUAUCCUUAGAAUGAAAGCUCCGGCGGUUAUUGAUGGGCAUGCGUGACAUUAGCUAGUUGGUGAGGUAACGGCUCACCAAGGCUACGAUGUCUAGGGGUCCUGAGAGGGUUAACCCCCACACUGGUACUGAGACACGGACCAGACUCCUACGGGAGGCAG